GACGAACGCUGGCGGCGUGCUUAACACAUGCCAGUCGAACGGAAAGGCCCUGCUUUUGUGGGGUGCUCGAGUGGCGAACGGGUGAGUAACACGUGAGUAACCUGCCCUUGACUUUGGGAUAACUUCAGGAAACUGGGGCUAAUACCGGAUAGGAGCUCCUGCUGCAUGGUGGGGGUUGGAAAGUUUCGGCGGUUGGGGAUGGACUCGCGGCUUAUCAGCUUGUUGGUGGGGUAGUGGCUUACCAAGGCUUUGACGGGUAGCCGGCCUGAGAGGGUGACCGGCCACAUUGGGACUGAGAUACGGCCCAGACUCCUACGGGAGGCAGCAGUGGGGAAUAUUGCACAAUGGGCGGAAGCCUGAUGCAGCAACGCCGCGUGCGGGAUGCCGGCCUUCGGGUUGUAAACCGCUUUCGCCUGUGACGAAGCGUGAGUGACGGUAAUGGGUAAAGAAGCACCGGCUAACUACGUG
This 468-nucleotide ribosomal RNA is filed under the name uncultured bacterium. RNAcentral describes it as "partial 16S ribosomal RNA". It matches the Rfam family "Bacterial small subunit ribosomal RNA", at positions 28 to 507 of the family's 1533-position model. The record is from RNAcentral.